This 21-nucleotide unclassified non-coding RNA is filed under the name Chlamydomonas reinhardtii. RNAcentral's name for it is "small RNA Cre_3976". The record is from RNAcentral. Lineage: Eukaryota; Viridiplantae; Chlorophyta; Chlorophyceae; Chlamydomonadales; Chlamydomonadaceae.
UUGGAGGUUUUGGCACCUGCA